GUGAAUAGAAUUGCAGACAAUGGGUGGGGCUGGAUGAAAGGAUCUAAAUUUUAAUUAUAGACACUGGUAAAGACCCUUCAGGCUCUUCUCUCUCAGGAAUUGAUUGCAAGAACAAGACUCAUGCAUCAAGGAAUUAGAUAUCUACACACUACCAACUACUUCCCAACCAUCCACACAAUCAUUAAUUACUGUUCUGGCAAUAUACUAAAAAUGGAAGAUUUGCCUACUUGGGAUCAGACCCUGACAGUCCAAGUUGUAGUCUCAUACAGUAAAACAAUAACAUGGCAAAAAGGACAAAGAAGGUUAAAAUACAGUGGACUUUAUGGUGCCUCACUACAUAAAAUUGUAAAAAUGGUUUUGUUUGUGCUGCUGCUGUAGAAGCUGCUCCUCCUCCAACUGCCUUUUAAUGUCUCUAAGGAGCUUUAUCAUUUCCAUGUUGAGAGCCAUGUGUUCUUCCCAUUGCAGAUUAUUUUUAUGUCUAUCAGUGAAGUAAGCUAUGCACUAGAUUAAUUUUGAAUAAGUUCAGUCUUUACUUACCAUCACAACACAUACGAAUGUUUCAGUAAUUAAGAUGAAAAUGCCAACAUUAACAAAAGCAAUGUACUUACUUGACUCCAGGCCUGAAUCUAUUGCUGAAUGGCUAAAAGCAAAAAAAUUAAUGUAGUGAUAGUAAGGUUCAUAAACUUAUACAUGUACAUGUACUAAUUUUUAGACACAAUUUUGAGCAAACAUACCACUAAUUAGGUGUAAAUGUGCAUGUAGAUCUAUACACAUCAUUGAAAUGACAUACAAUGUGCUGUGUACAUUACUAUUAUCAAUAUUGUCCUCCAAAAGGUUAUUACAUUAGGAAGGUUGUAUCUAUUAGCUUGGGAUUGCUCUCGGCUUAUCUCAGUAUUCCUGUUGUACAGAAUCUUCUCUCCAGUAGACAACAGAUGAAUACUAGCUUACCAUUGAUGAUUAUCAACACAUACGGAGCUUUUGGCAGAUUCCAGCUGAACAAUGUCAGACUUAUGCAUCAGAAGUUAAUGCCAUAUUUGCAGAGAUUAGUGCCCUCACUGCUAGGAAUGUUGAGGAAAUGUUCAUUGAAAUAACUCUAAGUUACCACCAGAUUGUUUAACUAGUUUACCAGCUGGUGCCUCUCUCUUAAGACAAACUGAUACACCACGUGCUAAGGGAGGAUGCUGUGGAGGAGGGGGAGGGGACAAAGGACCA
Molecule: long non-coding RNA, 1212 nt
Organism: Amphimedon queenslandica
Lineage: Eukaryota; Metazoa; Porifera; Demospongiae; Haplosclerida; Niphatidae
Exons: 4
Source: RefSeq, a predicted model, not a curated record